Molecule: long non-coding RNA, 3276 nt
Organism: Apis cerana (Asiatic honeybee)
Lineage: Eukaryota; Metazoa; Arthropoda; Insecta; Hymenoptera; Apidae
Source: RefSeq, a predicted model, not a curated record
CGCGCAUAGGCGGGGCAUAAUAAUUCAUCAGGACGCUCUUUCUGCAUGGAAGUCGAAGGCCGCGGUGGCACGCGGGUCUGUGGUCGCGGCCACCUCGAUAUGGGCUGGCGAUACGAUAUCGAGAUGGUUAAAGACACGCGUGCGCCACGUACGACCAGUUUCCGACCGCAGUGGCGUAUUUGUUCUACCGUUUAACCCCUGUUGAUCCCAGACAAGUACUAUUAUGGAAAUAGAUUCUGCGAUGGGGAAAAAAGUAACAUUUCCAGAAUGGUAUAAAUAAAUUUCGACGAGAGGUUAGAUCAAAGAAUUCAAAAAAAAAAAACAAAUUCUAUCGGAAAAUUUCAUCUUCUGAUCAAUAAAAUUUUUGUAUUAAAUCUCAAAAUUUUAAAUUUUAAUUCAACGCAUCGAUAUCGUUCGAUAAGGAAAGAGAGAGUGAAUUAUCGUUGGAGGAAUUAAAAUUGGACGAAAGGCUACGCCAUUGGACACUCGCGUCCUUGCGGUUGGAAUUACGCACGAGCUCUCCCCGUUUCUAGCUGAAACAGGGAAUGGGAAGAUCUCGCGAGGAGACGAAGUUUCGAAAAACAGGUGCGAUUCGUAUUGACAUCACGCUUCAACGGCGAUUCUCUAUAUACGAAUGUGUCGGCCUCCUCUCUCAUUGGAUAUGCGUGUGACGUCAGCCGUGUGUCACGUCAGCCGGCGCGAGGCUGAACAAGUGAAAACCGUCCAUCGCGGAGGACGUUUUUCUGCCUCAUUGUCACGCAGAAGUUUCUCGAUUUCCGAUCAACUCGCUUCUCUUCCAUCGUGUACUGAAAAUUAUAUGUUGGAGAAGUUUUUACGAGUUACAGGAAUAGAAUGAUAAAUAGAUGUAAAAAUAAAGACACGUACGUUUAUCACAUACGUUUCGCACGUAUAAGAAUUUAUUAAAUUCUAUCUUACGUAACGAGUACAAUUUUGGUAAUGAAACGAAUUCUACACGUGUGAAUUGUAAAUUAUAAACCAAUUGAUUACUCAAACGGUCAAAUUAUCGCGUUAUCGUUAAAUAUUCUGGAAUUUUACGAUUUUUUCUUUUUUUAUGAUUCGCCGAUGUUCGUCAAAAUGUUUCAUUAAUAUAAAAAGAUGAUUCCGAUUCUUUCUUGCCUUUCACGCUGCAUCCUCUAAAAUUGAAAAUUUUAAGGCACUGAUUAAGGCAGGAAAUAAUGGUAAACGGUACAAAAAGUGAGUUUUAAAAUGGGCGAUCGUAAAUCGAACGCGAUUAUUUGUCGACGGCAUUUAAAUCACUACUCGACACGUCGCCAGUGAUUUAAAUGCGUGGAUGAAAACGAAAAGCGACAGAGAUAAAUCGAGAGCAAUCGAAGAGCAGGUGGGACAGUUGUGGACGGUAAUGCCUGUAAUGAGAUGGACACGUGACCUCGGCAAGGACGUCGCCAUUUUGAGGAAAAAUAAUAAGCGCGGCAAAAUAAAAACGCGAUACACGUUUUCCAUUUUUCCUCAAAACGAGAAAGAUUGAUCACACCUGUAUCGUGUAAAUGUUAUUUAGAAUUUUGAUUCUAAAUAAUUUCAAUUCACAGAAGAAACGGUAAAAAGAAAAAUAUAAUUCAUUUAAAAUUAUGCCAGGUAAUAAUAUACCGUUCUUCGUAAAAUUAGAGAAAAAGAACAUAAAUCAAUUUUUGCUUUAAUGUUACAUUCGUAACAGCCUCGCGAUGAUAUUAAUUCAAUCUAUCGUAAACGUGCUCAUAAGUAAAUGAAUAAACUGCAAAUUAACGCAAUUAUAUAGAUAAGAUCGCGAAAAAUCGAUCCUGCAUCGGGAACAUGUGAUUAAAGAGGAAGGGAGGGGAGAGAAAAAAGCAUGGAAACGUGUCUUUACAACCCAAUGCACUGGGAAGAUUCCCAUCGGUACUCGUGCACGGCAAAUUACGUAAGAAGCUGACAAUGCCAGUCUCGUAACAUCCUCGAGGAAAAAGCAAUUCGAUGGAGCUAGCUUCUCUAAAAAGAAUACAUACCGUUUUAAAAUCGAGUAAGAAUAUCGUAGAAUAUGAUUAAUCUUACUCCAAGACUGAGAUCAAGAGUGAGAGCGAUCAAGCGAGGAGAGAGAGAGAGAGAGAGAAAGAGAGAGAGGAAAGAAAGAGUCUGUGGUCUAAACAGUGUUUACAUUCACCUGAUUUCUAUCGAUACUCCCGAUGAUCACUGCUUUUAUAUCCGUCGAGCGCAAUAUAUUCCUUCGACACUGAUUCGUCGUUGCAACAACAAAGAAAAUAUAAAUUCACAAGGAGAUGAGAAGUAGUGGUUCACAAGUCGAGUCACGAGCGAGGUAUCACAACGUGGAAAGUCGGGAAACGAGCGGCAAACGAUAUUCCCGCGCAUGCUGCCGUGGCCGGCGCUCACGAUACUGCCCGAAUGCUUUCUGACGGAUCUGAUGCCAGCCACUGAGGUGGCCCAGUGGGAGACGAAGAUCGCCGGAGCGGCACGAAGCGCGCCCGAACUAUCAGCAGUGACGAGAUGAUCAAGUUGGACCCCGAUCGGAAAGCCAGCAAUAGUUCCUUUUCUAAAUGGGCAAAACGGAUUUUUCGUCGUGUUGAAAAUUAUCAAGGAUCAAGAAAUUACUUUUUUCUUAAUCUUCUGAUUAAUUAGUUAGUUACAAGAUUAAUUGAUCCUUGUCAAUUUAUUAUUAAAUUAAUAUAUGUUUCGAUGUAAAAAUUAAAAAUGUGUUAUUCUUGAUUCGUUCAUACUAUGUACUUUUUUAGCAAUGAAAUUAAUGAUAAUAUUAAGUAGAGAGAUGAGUGAGGUUGAGAUAUAAAAAAGUGUACGUGUAAAAAGGUAUAUUUACCAGAGGAAGGACAACGAUCGAAUCAGGGACAAUAUCUGAGUAAGGGAUAUGGCGAGAGACGAGGACAUCCGUGUUUCGAUAAAAGCGGUCAGGAGGUCACUGUCGAUCUUCCACCAUAGUGUCAUCGAUAUAUUCCAUGUAUAUAAUAACUGUCAAAAUGAUAUUUAUAUAUCUAUAUUAUUAUUUAUAUAUUUAUGAAACGUAAUAAUAUGUAAAUGAUUUCAAAAUUGUAUGUAAACGAGUCUUUAAGAUUUGAACAAAGUUCAACUUUUUUACAACUGCGAUAUAAAUAUUAAUGAAAUAAUCAAAGAGAUCGCAUGAAUAUUCGUAUAUUAUAUUUUAUAUAAGUUAAUUAUUCAACAACUUUAACUUUAAUUUAAUUUUAAUUAAUUAAUAAAUUAUGGAAAUACAAAUACAAAAUUUUAUUAAAUAAAUUUUUUCUUAUAACAGAC